Molecule: long non-coding RNA, 142 nt
Organism: Octopus sinensis (East Asian common octopus)
Lineage: Eukaryota; Metazoa; Mollusca; Cephalopoda; Octopoda; Octopodidae
Exons: 4
Source: RefSeq, a predicted model, not a curated record
UUUCUUGUUGACACCAAUUUCUUUAGUUAUCUAUUCACACAAGAUAGAUGUCCAAACACAAACCUGGAAGUAUGUGUAAUACUACUACUGGAUAGCACAGGAUAAAUCUGAAAGUGGACAAGCUUUAUACUGUACACUACUA